RNAcentral lists this unclassified non-coding RNA (267 nucleotides) under Hevea brasiliensis (rubber tree). Lineage: Eukaryota; Viridiplantae; Streptophyta; Magnoliopsida; Malpighiales; Euphorbiaceae. The record is from RNAcentral.
GGCUGUACUUCUAUUGAUGACUCUUGGGAUCUUGACAACAAUGGCAGCAAGUUCAUCAUUUGGGUGGAAGUCUAAUGUUUGUGUCUCUGCUUGUUGUAGGCCCAUGGCAAACAAAACAAAUUCUCUAGCAAAUGAUUGCUCCAUAUAGUUCUCUCUAGUCCAACGGGAAAACUGUGAACCAGAAACCUUCAAUUGAGCUACAACAUUAGGAAUAUAAUCAUGACCUUUGCCUUUGCCCCCUUGGUUCAUCCACCCCCCAUUUUUUUU